AUGGCUACGGUCGCGUCCGGCGACGAGGAGCGCAGGUGCGCUCGCCGGCGGCGUGAGGACGACGCAGGUGAGCCGAUUCAGCAACGGGGCGUCGCGGCUGAUUGUGGGGAUGGAGGCUGGGGCGGCUCGGCGGGCCUUGGGUCGGUCUGCAGCAGGCCCCUUGGUGCGGUCAAAGCAAUUGCAAGAGGGGCCAAAUUGCAAAUCUCAAAUAUGGCGGUUGUUUCUGCGGCAUCUGAUGAAAACCAGAUCCGACGACUACAUCACCUCGAGUACGUACUACACAUUAUAUUGCAGCCUCCCUCCUCCAUGGCUCCAAGCCAGCAGACCUGCCUAGAAGCCUGCAUCCAUCUGCAAAGCAUGAGGGGCCGCGACCUCACCGGCUCGCUGCCGGACGAGGUCCUGCAGCACGUGCUCUCCUUCCUGCCGUCGCGCGAAGCCGUCCAGACUUCCGUGCUCUCCCGGCGCUGGCGCCACCUCUGGAAAUCCACCCCUUCCGUCCGCGUCAGCGGCCGGGGAGACGGCUUUCGCCUCUUCGUCAACAGCCUGCUGCGCCACCGGAACGACGCCUCGCCGCUGCGCACCUUCGAGAUCGACGACCUCGUGAAAGCCCCCCAGCCGUCCACCAACUUCUUCUUCGACGACGACGUCGUCCCGGAAACCGAUCCCCACCCCGACGUCGACCUGUGGAUCAGGCACGCCUUGUCCACGUGCCGUGCCACCUCGCUCACGGCACUCUUCGACGAAGAGGGCUUGCUGCCAUGGCGUCCCCGUCCCCCUUUCUCCUUCACGUCCAGCCACCUCACGACCAUGCACCUCGAGUUCGUCGAGCUCGCCGACGGCCUCCUCGACUUCUCCCCCUGCCCGGCGCUCCUGCGGCUCAGCCUCAGCGGAUGCCGCCUCGACGGCGACGCCAUCGUCUCGCCCUCGCUGGAGCGCCUCAGCAUAAUCCGCUGCGACAUUCCGAUCGGCCGGAACACGGCCGGUCGGACCGCCACGAUGAGGAUCUCCACGCCGAACCUCCGUCAUCUGGAGAUAUCCGAUAGCUGUGACGGGGAACAGACACCUCCCUCCCUCGACAGCAUGCCUUUGUUGACGACGGCGAGCAUCCGGUUCACGGGCAGCACCCGGAUUUACCCCACCAAUGGUGACGCUUCCUUGCUUCUGCAUGGCUUGUCAGAGGCCACGACCUUGGAGCUUACGGCUUCGACUCCUGAUGGAAAGGCAAUCCUACAAGGUGACUUGAGAUGGUGCCCUACAUUCACCGAGUUAAAGACUUUGAUACUGAACGAGUGGUGUCUAUAUGACGAUGUAACUGCGCUCGCAUGCCUUCUGCGGCACACACCAGCACUAGAGAGUUUGCAACUUGAUUUCAAGAGCAGCGAUACACUCCAGGAGAAAAUAAAAGGAAGUUGUAUCAUAUUAAAAGAGUUAUUUCCUACGCUUGAAAACCUGAAGGCAGUGAAGAUCAGAAGGCACUGCUCAUAUUCUGACACAAAGAACCACGAAAUUUUGAAGUUGUUCCGUGAUUUGGGCAUACCUCGGUGUAAAGUUAAGUAUGCUCUGAACUUUGAAGCAGUGGAUGCCGCUAUGGAGGGGAAAAACGCAAGAGGGGGUCAAGAAGACGGUAGGAUGCAUCUCGGCUCAGAUUGCAUAACUGAAGCAGGAAUCGACGCUUCGCGAGGAUCCAAGCGGUGUAGGAUAGAACGUAGUCUGCUAUGA
This 1719-nucleotide ribosomal RNA is filed under the name Triticum aestivum (bread wheat). RNAcentral's name for it is "partial small subunit ribosomal RNA". The record is from RNAcentral. Lineage: Eukaryota; Viridiplantae; Streptophyta; Magnoliopsida; Poales; Poaceae.